GUGGGGAAUAUUGGACAAUGGGCGAAAGCCUGAUCCAGCAAUGCCGCGUGAGUGAUGAAGGCCUUAGGGUUGUAAAGCUCUUUUACCAGGGAUGAUAAUGACAGUACCUGGAGAAUAAGCUCCGGCUAACUCCGUGCCAGCAGCCGCGGUAAUACGGAGGGAGCUAGCGUUGUUCGGAAUUACUGGGCGUAAAGCGCACGUAGGCGGUUACUCAAGUCAGAGGUGAAAGCCCGGGGCUCAACCCCGGAACUGCCUUUGAAACUAGGUAACUAGAAUCUUGGAGAGGUCAGUGGAAUUCCGAGUGUAGAGGUGAAAUUCGUAGAUAUUCGGAAGAACACCAGUGGCGAAGGCGACUCACUGGCCCAAUACUGACGCUGAGGCGCGAAAGCGUGGGGAGCAAACAGGAUUAGAAACCCCGGUAGUCC
RNAcentral lists this ribosomal RNA (425 nucleotides) under uncultured bacterium. Its description in RNAcentral is "partial 16S ribosomal RNA". It matches the Rfam family "Bacterial small subunit ribosomal RNA", at positions 354 to 796 of the family's 1533-position model. The record is from RNAcentral.